Molecule: long non-coding RNA, 2688 nt
Filed under: Pan troglodytes (chimpanzee)
Lineage: Eukaryota; Metazoa; Chordata; Mammalia; Primates; Hominidae
Description: long non-coding RNA NONPTRT011230
Source: RNAcentral
GGGAGGAAGGACGCGCGGAACGCCCCCCUGUGAAGCAGGACAUCGAUUUUACCGUCUCCCCCAUCGGAGUCCCGGAGGCUGCGCUGCGGUGUGGCAAGUUCAUGGAGGAGCAGGUGCUUCAGUCGCAGGGGAUGACACACUUCCAUGGCCCCCCAUGCCAGAAGAGUUUGUAGUCUCCUCUCAUCACCUUGAAGAGUACUGGUCAAUUAUUUUGUAGAAUGUCCUUCAAAUUGGGUUUGUCUGCUGUUUUCUCCUGAUUCAGCUUAGGGAAAACCACCACAGAUGAUGUGCCACUCACACAGCACCACAUCACAGGUACCUGCUGCCAAUAUGAUGCCACCUUUGAGUUCUUGGUUGGGGCUGUGUCUGCCAGGUUUCUCCACUGUAAAGUAUUGUUCCCUUUGUAAUGAAUAGCUAUUUGGGGGGAGACUUGGCAGAUAUUCUAUUUCUCCUAAUUCUUUCACCUGUUAGAUUUCACCUUGCUGCAUCUGUCAAGGGACUGUGCUUAUAACAAUUAUCAUGGUGAUUUUCUAUUUCCCUUAUUCCUUCUACAUUUAUUAACUGGAAUUUUACAAGGAAGAACUGUUCCUUAUCCCUCACUUAUGCAUUCAUUUAUGUAUUGAUAUCAGCCUAAAUGGAUGGCUAUUUCUUUUCUUUUUUAGGUUGUAAUCCAUUACUGCUGUUGUCUAUCCUGUGGCUCGAACUGCUCCAGCUUUGGCCAAUGCAGCACUUUUUGACGGACAUCUACCCUUCUGAUAUCUGACAGGCUGCCAUCACUCACCUUUCGUUUGCCCUACCCCAACCCUGGAACCAACCCCUUCCCUGAGGAGCCCUUAGGAUCCACCAUCUCAGGCUGGCUCUGGUCACUGAUGCAGGUGUCACUGCUCUAAGGCCCUCUGUCGACAGACUUAGAAAACAGAUGUGUUACACUAACUCACACAUGCAUAGACCCACAUUUCUCUCUCUCUGAAAAAACCAACAGCCCUAGUUCAUGCUGACACCUCCAACCCUGAUCCAGAACCACAGGAUAACUCUAGCACCAUCCUUCCUUAUUUGUAACUUCUUCCUAGAAUACGUACAGUUUUGAGAUUGCUAACCCAUGCCCCUAUGAGAAACAAGUGCACUAACCAGAGGUUUUAUCUUUAGCCUUACAGCAUCCUGUCAAAACACUGUUUUCCAAAGUUACUGAUAGGUCAGCUAAUUCUACAUCCAUUUCACUAUGGUUAUGGCAGCAUUCCCUAACCGUUUUGGCACCAAGGACCAAUUUCUUAGAAGACAGUUUUUCCACAGACUGGGGCGAGGAGGGGGGAUGGUUUCAGGAUGAAACUGUGCCACCUCAGAUCAUCACUCUAACAUCAUAGUUAGAGUCUCAAAAGGAGUGAGUGAGCAACCUAGAUCAUUCACAUGCACAGUUCACAACAGGGUUCAUGCUCCUAUGAGAAUCUAAUGCUGCUGCUGACCUGACAGGAGGCAGAGCUCAGGCAGUAAUGCUUGCCUGCCCUCUGCUCACCUCCUGCUCUGUGGCCCAGGUCCUAACAGGCUACGGACAGGUACCGAUCCGUGGCCUAGGGGUUGGGGACCCCGGAUUAUGGGAUAAGUUUGUAAUACCAUUUGAUUCAUCUGUCACAGUUUGUAUCACUUGGGCACUCCCCCCAGUAACACACACACAAACAUCUUUGUUGAUUUUAGUGAAAUUUUGUGGUGCACAGUUCCAUGGGUUUUGACAGGUGCACAGUCAAAUCUAACACAGUCCCAUCACUCCCCAAACUGCCUCUCACUCUCUUUGUAAUCAACUCCUUUUCCCCAACUCUUAACCCCUGGCAACCACUGAUUUGUUCUUCUUCCUUAUGGUUGUGCUUUUUCUAGAGCAUCCUUUAAAUAGAAUCAUACAAUAUGGAGGCCUUUUAGGUUUGGUUUCUUUCACUAAACAAAAUGAAUUUAAGAUUCAUCCAUGUUGUGGGAAUUAAUAGUUUGUUCCUUUUGACUUUUGAGUGGUAUUCUGCUGUAGAGAUGUUACCACAAUUUGUUUAUUCAUUCACCAGUUGAAGGAUAUCUGAUUUUGAGUGUUGGCAAUUACUGAAUAAAACUCUAUUAACAGUCACAUGCAGGUUUUGUGUGAGCAUGAAUUUUCACUUACCUUGGGUAAGCACCUAGGAGUGAGACUGCCAGGUCCUAAGGCAGUGUAACACAGUAAGAAGCUGCCACACUGUUUUCCAGAGUGGCUGUGCCAUUCUGCAUUCCCAGUAGCAGGGUUGGAGAGCAUAUUCCUGCCAGCACUUGGCACUGUCCUUGCCAGCACUGGGAUGCUUCGUGAUUGUUCUUUCAUCUUAGCUACUGAUGUAGGCCUGUGCUGGUACCUUAUGAAGAAGGUGCACAGCCUUCCAAAUCACCUAGGCCCACUGUGGCAGUCUCAUUCCCCAGAACAUACUGUUAUAUCUCUAGCUGGUCAGCUGCUUGCCCCAAAUGGUACUGUGGCCUUAGGCUAGGUGCAGUGUUUACCUUCCGGAUUGCUUGCAUUUGUUUCCCUAACAAUAAAUUAUGUUGGGCAUCACAGGCUUAUUUUUCUCUGCUUAUUUGCAUGGGCUUCUCUGCAAUCCAUGCAAGUUGUUUGGUGAAGUACAGGUUCACCAAAACUAUUCCCCAAUUUUUUACUGGGUUGUUUUCUUAUUGUUGAGUUUUAAGUGUUCU